UACGUAGGGGGCAAGCGUUAUCCGGAAUUACUGGGUGUAAAGGGUGAGUAGGCGGUUAGAUAAGUCAUGUGUGAAAGCCCGAAGCUCAACUUCGGGAUUGCACAAGAAACUGUCUGACUAGAGUGCAGGAGAGGUAAGUGGAAUUCCUAGUGUAGCGGUGAAAUGCGUAGAUAUUAGGAGGAACACCAGUGGCGAAGGCGACUUACUGGACUGUAACUGACGCUGAGUCACGAAAGCGUGGGGAGCGAACAGG
Molecule: ribosomal RNA, 253 nt
Filed under: uncultured bacterium
Lineage: Bacteria
Description: partial 16S ribosomal RNA
Rfam family: Bacterial small subunit ribosomal RNA
Source: RNAcentral